UACGUAGGGUGCGAGCGUUGUCCGGAUUCAUUGGGCGUAAAGAGCUCGUAGGCGGCUGUUCAAGUCGAACGUGAAAACUCGGAGCUCAACUCCGAGCCUGCGUUCGAUACUGGACGGCUAGAGUCUGGUAGGGGGAUCUGGAAUUCCUGGUGUAGCGGUGGAAUGCGCAGAUAUCAGGAGGAACACCGGUGGCGAAGGCGGCAUCCUGGACCGACACUGACACUGAGGAGCGAAAGCCAGGGGAGCAAACGGG
This 253-nucleotide ribosomal RNA is filed under the name uncultured bacterium. RNAcentral's name for it is "partial 16S ribosomal RNA". It matches the Rfam family "Bacterial small subunit ribosomal RNA", at positions 524 to 776 of the family's 1533-position model. The record is from RNAcentral.